CAGUCGCCGCGGUAAUACGGAGGGUGCAAGCGUUAAUCGGAAUUACUGGGCGUAAAGCGCACGCAGGCGGUCUGACAAGUCAGAUGUGAAAUCCCCGGGCUUAACCUGGGAACUGCAUUUGAAACUGUCAGGCUGGAGUCUUGUAGAGGGGGGUGGAAUUCCAGGUGUAGCGGUGAAAUGCGUAGAGAUCUGGAGGAAUACCGGUGGCGAAGGCGGCCCCCUGGACAAAGACUGACGCUCAGGUGCGAAAGCGUGGGGAGCAAACAGGAUUAGAGACCCCUGUAGUCCCUGUCUCUUAUAA
This 301-nucleotide ribosomal RNA is filed under the name uncultured bacterium. RNAcentral's name for it is "partial 16S ribosomal RNA". It matches the Rfam family "Bacterial small subunit ribosomal RNA", at positions 509 to 809 of the family's 1533-position model. The record is from RNAcentral.